GACUUUAUAGGGAGCAUUAACACUGAAGGUC
Molecule: non-coding RNA, 31 nt
Filed under: Rattus norvegicus (Norway rat)
Lineage: Eukaryota; Metazoa; Chordata; Mammalia; Rodentia; Muridae
Source: RNAcentral